Molecule: ribosomal RNA, 447 nt
Filed under: uncultured bacterium
Lineage: Bacteria
Description: bacterial SSU rRNA
Rfam family: Bacterial small subunit ribosomal RNA
Source: RNAcentral
GCCAGACUCCUACGGGAGGCAGCAGUGGGGGAUAUUGCACAAUGGGGGAAACCCUGAUGCAGCGACGCCGCGUGGGCGAAGAAGUAUUUCGGUAUGUAAAGCCCUAUCAGCAGGGAAGAAGAAAUGACGGUACCUGAGUAAGAAGCACCGGCUAAAUACGUGCCAGCAGCCGCGGUAAUACGUAUGGUGCAAGCGUUAUCCGGAUUUACUGGGUGUAAAGGGGGCGCAGACGGCGAUGCAAGCCAGGAGUGAAAGCCCGGGGCCCAACCCCGGGACUGCUCUUGGAACUGCGUGGCUGGAGUGCAGGAGGGGCAGGCGGAAUUCCUGGUGUAGCGGUGAAAUGCGUAGAUAUCAGGAGGAACACCGGUGGCGAAGGCGGCCUGCUGGACUGCAACUGACGUUGAGGCCCGAAAGCGUGGGGAGCAAACAGGAUUAGAUACCCGAGUA